This is a small nuclear RNA of Marmota marmota marmota (Alpine marmot), 107 nucleotides long. NCBI's taxonomy places the organism in Eukaryota, Metazoa, Chordata, Mammalia, Rodentia, Sciuridae. The record is from Ensembl.
GCACUUGUUUUGGCAGCACAAAUACUAAAAUUGGAACAAUACAGGGAAUAUUAACAUGGUCCCUGUACAAGAAUGACAUGCAAAUUCAUGAAGUGUUCCAUAUUUUU